ACGGAAGGCAGCAGUGGGGGAUAUUGCACAAUGGGCGCAAGCCUGAUGCAGCGAUGCCGCGUGAGGGAAGAAGGUUUUCGGAUUGUAAACCUCUGUCAACAGGGACGAAAAUGACGGUACCUGUGAAGGAAGCUCCGGCUAACUACGUGCCAGCAGCCGUGGUAAUACGUAGGGAGCAAGCGUUAUCCGGAAUUACUGGGUGUAAAGGGAGUGUAGGCGGGACUGUAAGUCAGAUGUGAAAUAUGCCGGCUCAACUGGCAGACUGCAUUUGAAACUGCGGUUCUUGAGUGAAGUAGAGGUAAGCGGAAUUCCUAGUGUAGCGGUGAAAUGCGUAGAUAUUAGGAGGAACAUCAGUGGCGAAGGCGGCUUACUGGGAUUUAACUGACGCUGAGGCUCGAAAGCGUGGGGAGCAAACAGGAUUAGAUACCCUGGUA
RNAcentral lists this ribosomal RNA (434 nucleotides) under uncultured Ruminococcus sp. RNAcentral's name for it is "partial 16S ribosomal RNA". It matches the Rfam family "Bacterial small subunit ribosomal RNA", at positions 341 to 792 of the family's 1533-position model. Lineage: Bacteria; Bacillati; Bacillota; Clostridia; Eubacteriales; Oscillospiraceae. The record is from RNAcentral.